UGCAAGUCGAGGGGCAGCAUGAGGUAGCAAUACCUUGAUGGCGACCGGCGCACGGGUGAGUAACACGUAUCCAACCUGCCUCAUACUCGGGGAUAGCCUUUCGAAAGAAAGAUUAAUACCCGAUGGCAUAGUUCUUCCGCAUGGUAGAACUAUUAAAGAAUUUCGGUCAUCCGAUGGGGAUGCGUUCCAUUAGGUUGUUGGGGGGUAACGGCCCACCAAGACUACGAUGGAUAGGGGUUCUGAGAGGAAGGUCCCCACAUUGGAACUGAGACACGGUCCAAACUCC
RNAcentral lists this ribosomal RNA (286 nucleotides) under uncultured Bacteroides sp. RNAcentral describes it as "partial 16S ribosomal RNA". It matches the Rfam family "Bacterial small subunit ribosomal RNA", at positions 56 to 339 of the family's 1533-position model. The record is from RNAcentral. Lineage: Bacteria; Pseudomonadati; Bacteroidota; Bacteroidia; Bacteroidales; Bacteroidaceae.